CUGGGAGGACCAUCUCCUAAGGCUAAAUACUCUCUAGUGACCGAUAGUGAACCAGUACCGUGAGGGAAAGGUGAAAAGCACCCCGGAAGGGGAGUGAAAUAGAACCUGAAACCGUGUGCUUACAAGUAGUCAGAGCCCGUUAAUGGGUGAUGGCGUGCCUUUUGUAGAAUGAACCGGCGAGUUACGAUUUGAUGCAAGGUUAAGCAGUAAAUGUGGAGCCGUAGCGAAAGCGAGUCUGAAUAGGGCGUUUAGUAUUUGGUCGUAGACCCGAAACCAGGUGAUCUACCCUUGGUCAGGUUGAAGUUCAGGUAACACUGAAUGGAGGACCGAACCGACUUACGUUGAAAAGUGAGCGGAUGAACUGAGGGUAGCGGAGAAAUUCCAAUCGAACCUGGAGAUAGCUGGUUCUCUCCGAAAUAGCUUUAGGGCUAGCCUCAAGUGAUGAUUAUUGGAGGUAGAGCACUGUUUGGACGAGGGGCCCCUCUCGGGUUACCGAAUUCAGACAAACUCCGAAUGCCAAUUAAUUUAACUUGGGAGUCAGAACAUGGGUGAUAAGGUCCGUGUUCGAAAGGGAAACAGCCCAGACCACCAGCUAAGGUCCCAAAAUAUAUGUUAAGUGGAAAAGGAUGUGGCGUUGCCCAGACAACUAGGAUGUUGGCUUAGAAGCAGCCAUCAUUUAAAGAGUGCGUAAUAGCUCACUAGUCGAGUG
Molecule: ribosomal RNA, 709 nt
Filed under: Staphylococcus aureus
Lineage: Bacteria; Bacillati; Bacillota; Bacilli; Caryophanales; Staphylococcaceae
Description: partial 23S ribosomal RNA
Rfam family: Bacterial large subunit ribosomal RNA
Source: RNAcentral